Molecule: ribosomal RNA, 497 nt
Filed under: uncultured bacterium
Lineage: Bacteria
Description: partial 16S ribosomal RNA
Rfam family: Bacterial small subunit ribosomal RNA
Source: RNAcentral
GAUGAACGCUGGCGGCGUGCCUAAUACAUGCAAGUCGAGCGAACAGAUGAGGAGCUUGCUCCUCUGACGUUAGCGGCGGACGGGUGAGUAACACGUGGAUAACCUACCUAUAAGACUGGGAUAACUUCGGGAAACCGGAGCUAAUACCGGAUAAUAUAUUGAACCGCAUGGUUCAAUAGUGAAAGACGGUUUUGCUGUCACUUAUAGAUGGAUCCGCGCCGCAUUAGCUAGUUGGUAAGGUAACGGCUUACCAAGGCAACGAUGCGUAGCCGACCUGAGAGGGUGAUCGGCCACAGGGGAACGGAGACACGGUCCAGACCCCUCGGGGGGGCACCAGUAGGAAAUCUUCCGCAAGGGGCGAAGGCCUGAGGGAGAAACGCGGGGGGAGGAAGAAAGGUUUUCGGAUCGAAAAACUUUGUUAUUGGGGAAAAAAAAAUGUGUAAGAAAAUAUGCACUUCUGGACGGUACCAAAUCAAAAAGCCAGGGCUAACUACGUC